RNAcentral lists this ribosomal RNA (723 nucleotides) under uncultured fungus. RNAcentral's name for it is "SSU rRNA". It matches the Rfam family "Eukaryotic small subunit ribosomal RNA", at positions 330 to 1057 of the family's 1831-position model. Lineage: Eukaryota; Fungi. The record is from RNAcentral.
AGGAUAGAGGCCUACCAUGGUGGUAACGGGUAACGGGGUGUUAGGGCACGACACCGGAGAGGGAGCCUGAGAAACGGCUACCACAUCCAAGGAUGGCAGCAGGCGCGCAAAUUACCCAAUCCCGACACGGGGAGGUAGUGACAAUAAAUAACAAUACGGGGUUCUUUAGGAUCUCGUAAUUGGAAUGAGUACAAUUUAAAUCUCUUAACGAGGAACAAUUGGAGGGCAAGUCUGGUGCCAGCAGCCGCGGUAAUUCCAGCUCCAAUAGCGUAUAUUAAAGUUGUUGCAGUUAAAAAGCUCGUAGUUGAAUUUCGGGGUUAGUAGGUUGGUCAUGCCUCUGGUAUGUACUGGUCUCACUGACUCCUCCUUCCUUAUGAACCGUAAUGCCAUUAAUUUGGUGUUGCGGGGAAUUUGGACUGUUACUUUGAAAAAAUUAGAGUGUUUAAAGCAAGCUAACGCUUGAAUACAUUAGCAUGGAAUAAUGAAAUAGGACGUUCGAUCUUAUUUUGUUGGUUUCUAGGAUUGACGUAAUGAUUAAUAGGGAUAGUUGGGGGCAUUAGUAUUCAAUUGUCAGAGGUGAAAUUCUUGGAUUUAUUGAAGACUAACUACUGCGAAAGCAUUUGCCAAGGAUGUUUUCAUUAAUCAAGAACGAAAGUUAGGGGAUCGAAGACGAUCAGAUACCGUCGUAGUCUUAACCAUAAACUAUGCCGACUAGGGAUCGGA